CCUAACUAUUUAUAUUAUAGAAUUUUUUUUAUCCCUUUUUCAGCGGUUC
Molecule: transfer RNA, 49 nt
Filed under: Nigella damascena (love-in-a-mist)
Lineage: Eukaryota; Viridiplantae; Streptophyta; Magnoliopsida; Ranunculales; Ranunculaceae
Description: transfer RNA-Leu
Source: RNAcentral